RNAcentral lists this ribosomal RNA (253 nucleotides) under uncultured bacterium. RNAcentral's name for it is "partial 16S ribosomal RNA". It matches the Rfam family "Bacterial small subunit ribosomal RNA", at positions 524 to 776 of the family's 1533-position model. The record is from RNAcentral.
UACGUAGGGUGCAAGCGUUGUCCGGAAUUAUUGGGCGUAAAGAGCUCGUAGGCGGUCUGUCGCGUCGGCUGUGAAAACCCGGGGCUUAACCCCUGGCUUGCAGUGGAUACGGACAGACUAGAGGUAGGUAGGGGAGAAUGGAAUUCCCGGUGUAGCGGUGAAAUGCGCAGAUAUCGGGAGGAACACCGGUGGCGAAGGCGGUUCUCUGGGCCUUACCUGACGCUGAGGAGCGAAAGCGUGGGGAGCGAACAGG